This is a long non-coding RNA of Melitaea cinxia (Glanville fritillary), 145 nucleotides long. RefSeq lists it as uncharacterized. The transcript has 3 exons. NCBI's taxonomy places the organism in Eukaryota, Metazoa, Arthropoda, Insecta, Lepidoptera, Nymphalidae. The record is from RefSeq and is a predicted model, not a curated record.
ACUUAUAUCUCCCUCUCAACUUCCAUUAGUCUCGCCCGAUCACACAUUUUGUAACACUCUCGUUACGCUUUCACCAGCUUACUCCUCAAGUCAAGCGUAUGUAAAGAAGUAUUACUUAAAAAAUAAAUACUAUUGGUGGAUAAUU